ACGGGGAUGGGGUGCAAAGGCGUGCGAGUCUUCUCACCAGGACCCCAGAGCUGCUGGCACUGCUGCUCGAGCGUGGGACACGCGCCGUCCCGGCAGUAGCCGCGGCCGCUGGCGCACGGCGAGCCAUCCAAUAGGCCAGCGCCCUCCACCCUCACCUCCGAGCCGCUCUGGCCCUCACCAGGCAGCGCGCGCAGCAGUCCCCGUGGGAACACUGGGCCCCCGCACGCAACGAGCAGUUAUGGGCGAAGCAGCAGGGGUCCAAGCACUCCUGGAGCCGGAAAGGCGAGGAGGGACCAGCCACACAACCGCGGAAUGAGCGGACACUGCCUGAGCGACGGGCGACUCGAAUCCUUUAGAGGCAGAGCCUAGAGUGGGGGGAGCUCACCGUGCUCACGCCGCCAGAGCUCUCUGCAUGGCACAUACCCUCGAUGGGCGCUAGGCCCACAGUGUUGCCCCGAAAGGUGCGGCCCCUGAGGGUGGAGCGCAGCGUGACCGGGUGG
This is a long non-coding RNA of Rhinolophus ferrumequinum (greater horseshoe bat), 500 nucleotides long. RefSeq lists it as uncharacterized. Lineage: Eukaryota; Metazoa; Chordata; Mammalia; Chiroptera; Rhinolophidae. The record is from RefSeq and is a predicted model, not a curated record. The transcript has 4 exons.